This 73-nucleotide transfer RNA is filed under the name Clostridium sp. C105KSO13. RNAcentral describes it as "tRNA-???(ca)". It matches the Rfam family "tRNA". From Rfam's summary of the family: Transfer RNA (tRNA) molecules are approximately 80 nucleotides in length. Their secondary structure includes four short double-helical elements and three loops (D, anti-codon, and T loops). The record is from RNAcentral. Lineage: Bacteria; Bacillati; Bacillota; Clostridia; Eubacteriales; Clostridiaceae.
CCUCUGGUAGUCUAUUGGUAAGGACACCCCGACAAGGGAGUUGGAAACUGGGUUCGAUUCCCAGACAGAGGUC